CCUACGGGUGGCUGCAGUCGAGAAUCAUUCACAAUGGGGGAAACCCUGAUGGUGCGACGCCGCGUGGGGGAAUGAAGGUCUUCGGAUUGUAAACCCCUGUCAUGUGGGAGCAAAUUAAAAAGAUAGUACAACAAGAGGCAGAGACGGCUAACUCUGUGCCAGCGGCCGCGGUAAUACAGAGGGCUCAAGCGGUGUUCGGAAUCACUGGGCGUAAAGCGGGCGUAGGCUGUUUCGUAAGUCGUGUGUGAAAGGCGCGGGCUCAACCCGCGGACGGCACAUGAUACUGCGAGACUAGAGUAAGGGAGGGGGAACUGGAAUUCUCGGUGUAGCAGUGAAAUGCGUAGAUAUCGAGAGGAACACUCGUGGCGAAGGCGGGUUCCUGGACAUUAACUGACGCUGAGGCACGAAGGCCAGGGGAGCGAAAGGGAUUAGAUACCCCUGUAGUC
This 446-nucleotide ribosomal RNA is filed under the name uncultured bacterium. RNAcentral's name for it is "partial 16S ribosomal RNA". It matches the Rfam family "Bacterial small subunit ribosomal RNA", at positions 338 to 795 of the family's 1533-position model. The record is from RNAcentral.